Clupea harengus (Atlantic herring) is the source of this 519-nucleotide non-coding RNA. NCBI's taxonomy places the organism in Eukaryota, Metazoa, Chordata, Actinopteri, Clupeiformes, Clupeidae. The record is from the annotation of a RefSeq genome assembly.
AUGAGAGGUUUGGAAGCCAUUAUCCUAACCCAGGAAAAAUCUGCAACAGUUAAACUUGGGCAGAAUGUGAAGAUCCUCUGUGCACCAAGCGGAGGUGACUGGACAUUAACAUGGUACCAGCAGAAGGAUGACGGUGUGAAGUUCUUAUUGGUAGACGGCACAAGAGCAACUCAUUCUCCAUCUCCCCCUGAGCUGGUCCUGCUGGCCCCCUCCCAGGACCUCUCCUCUGGGGACAGGGCCACUGUGGUGUGCCUGGCUCAGGGCUUCUACCCUGAUGGUGCCACCCUGACCUGGUCAGAGGAUGGCAAAGAUGUGGCGGGCACUGAGUUCCAGACGGGCGAGUCUCAGCGCCAGUCUGAUGGCACGUUCUCCCUCAGCAGCGCCCUGACGGUCCAGCCGCAACGCUGGCGCUCUGGGCACACCUACACCUGUCAGCUGAGCCACUCCGCCCUCUCCAGGCCUCUGAGCAAGAGUGUGGCACAGGGACAGUGCAGCUAGAGGGGGAGAGAGCAGGAUCCA